Molecule: ribosomal RNA, 424 nt
Filed under: Verrucomicrobiota bacterium
Lineage: Bacteria; Pseudomonadati; Verrucomicrobiota
Description: Verrucomicrobia bacterium partial 16S ribosomal RNA
Rfam family: Bacterial small subunit ribosomal RNA
Source: RNAcentral
UGAGGAAUAUUGGUCAAUGGGCGCAAGUCUGAACCAGCCAAGUAGCGUGCAGGAUGACGGCCCUAUGGGUGGUAAACUCCUUUUUUAUGGGGAAAAAUUGGGGAACGUGUUCCCUUUUGCAGGUACCAUAUGAAGAAGGACCGGCUAAUUCCGUGCCAGCAGCCGCGGUAAUACGGAAGGUUCGGGCGUUAUCCGGAUUUAUUGGGUGUAAAGGGAGCGUAGGCCGUUUGGUAAGCGUGUUGUGAAAUGUAGGAGCUCAACUUCCAGAUUGCAGCGCGAACUGUCAGACUUGAGAGCGCAGAACGUAGGCGGAAUUCAUGGUGUAGCGGUGAAAUGCUUAGAUAUCAUGAAGAACUCCGAUUGCGAAGGCAGCUUACGGGAGCGCAACUGACGCUGAAGCUCGAAGGUGCGGGUAUCGAACAGG